Molecule: ribosomal RNA, 301 nt
Filed under: uncultured bacterium
Lineage: Bacteria
Description: partial 16S ribosomal RNA
Rfam family: Bacterial small subunit ribosomal RNA
Source: RNAcentral
CAGUCGCCGCGGUAAUACGUAGGUGGCAAGCGUUGUCCGGAAUUAUUGGGCGUAAAGGGCUCGCAGGCGGUUAUAUAAGUCAGAUGUGAAAUCCCCGGGCUCAACCCGGGAACUGCAUUUGAGACUGUAUGGCUGGAGUGUGACAGAGGGGGGUAGAAUUCCGCGUGUAGCAGUGAAAUGCGUAGAUAUGUGGAGGAAUACCGAUGGCGAAGGCAGCCCCCUGGGAUAACACUGACGCUCAUGCACGAAAGCGUGGGGAGCAAACAGGAUUAGAUACCCCGGUAGUCCCUGUCUCUUAUAC